CCUAUCUAGUAAAUUUGGUGCCUACAUAUAAUACACGAAAAGAUUAUAAUUUUUGGUUCGAUGAGACAAUGUAGAUCGUUUAAACAUGGAACAUUUUCAAUAUAUGGUUUUUAUUCAUGUAUAAAUGAGAGUGCAUAUAGAUUAAAGAACUGAUUAGUAAGCAGAAGGACUAGGUACGGUAUUAAUUUAUACAUGAUUUAUCAGUGCAUUGGCAGCAACAAACACCGCCAUAACUAUAAAUUCGACAUUCACCUGCAUUUUGGAACCCCAUAGUCUCGCAUUUUGCCGCGCACGGUGGUGUGAGUGUACAUCCGUCCGGCAUACAUUUGUAAUAGACUCCUAAUUAAUUGGUUUAUCAUAAACACAAAUUAACAAUACAUCAAGUACCAAAAUAAAUUAAUUCAAUAUUUUAACAUAUUGCAUAAACAAAUGGACUUUUGUUCUGUGUUUAGUGACUUUAGACUUGUUUUUAUAAAUAAAAAAUAAACGGGAUUGAGAAAAUACGGAUUAGAAAAAGUUAUUUUUUGAGUUUGAGAAGUCCAUAUCUAAACAAAGAAAUACGUUUACCUGGAACGGCCGAAUCAAUGGGCAAAAUGAUGAGAGCAAACACCAUCAUGGAAAGUAGCAGAAGAGAUGAAAACUUCUCUGUUGCCAUUACUUUAGUUUAAUUUUGGUAAAUGCUAGAAGAAAAUACAGCCUAUAAAAUAGUUUGGUACAAAAUAAAUGUUAGAAGAAAUUCUUAUAUAAUAAGGACUUAUUAAGACUAAGAACAUAACGAAUAUCAAAAACAAUAUUUCUCUAUGUAAGAAAUAUUUUGGAACUCUUCAAAGAUUUAAUUUUUCAAUAUUUGUUGUCUUCUUCAGUAAGAGACUUUAACAUUGUAGAUCAAAUCUUCGUUAUUUGUUAUUUGUUGAGAACUGGUUGCGUUGGUCUUCUUUGUGUUUGUAUACACAUAUACACAAAUAUAUAGAGUUUUUUAAAAUAAAUAUUCGAUAUCAUGGUAAUGAAUUUCUCCAUAUCAUAAUUUGACUGUAAAUUAACAUAAUUAUCUACAAUUGGGCAAUGUAUUUAAUAGUUAUUAUGUUUCCAUUAGAAAUUGUGCUGAGAUGUUAAGCUGUUUUUAAUAUUAAAUAACAUAAAGAAAAAAAACACAUUUAAUUAAGAAUCUAGCACCCCCUAUUUUCCAAAACUUUUAAUCACUUUUUAAAAGAGAUUUUUUUAACUUUUAAAACUUUUUGGCACCAUUUUUUUUUAUGAGAUGUUAAAUUUGUUGAUUAUCGUGAAAAAGAAUAUAUAUGUACAAAGAUAUGAUUUCAUAUAGAGACACUACUUCAAAAAAAUAACUUUGAUGGGCAUUGAACCAGAAACGCAGCAGUCCCUGGUACUUCGGCUUCAAGUAGUACUUUGUAGACAUAAUCUAUUUUCUCACUGUCUUAUCUAUCACUUUAAUUAGCAAAAUGAUCCACUGGUUUUACAGUGCCAUUGUGUCUCCUAUCAUUACGCUCCCGCCAACAAAAAAAAAGAGAUACUGACCUGCAAGACCAAUCUCAGCAUAAUGAAAGUGAGACGAUCAUAAGAUCUCGUGAGCAGAUGCGCUAGUGUGGUGUUCCAGUCAGGGUCGGGUUCAGAGUCAAACAGGUUGCUGAUAUACUCAAAUAUUUACCACUAAAACCAACAGCAAAUGCACGGCAAUGCCCGGUAGUAUAUAUCGAUCGAAUGCUUCAGAGAUCAAGUUUACACUAUGAAUCUACGAGAGAAGAAUCAAGCUAGAACAAAAAGAUUUUGUUUUUACGGUUUCAAUUGCGACAAAUGUAAAAGACAAAAUGUAAACGAAGUUAAGCUUAUGGAUUAAAACGCUAGGCAUUGGGAAUUCUCAGGAAAACGUCAAUCAUGAAAUGUAACAAAUCAUGGACGAACGAGUUCAUGAGAGCUUGGUUAAACUGUCGAUCAAAAGUUAUUCGAUCUUAUGCAAGCAACUCUGAUUUUAUGGAUUGGCCGAUGAUAUUAAGGAUGCAAGAAAUUUUUUUUAAUGAUUGUUACAAUCAAAAUAUGCUGGAUUAGCAGUUUUGAAUUAUUGGAUCGCAGACCUAGAUGUCUACGUUCAUGGGGCUGAAGCUAUCUUGAAGUUCGAGAACAUCCCUUAGUAUAGUAGCCUUUUAGGGUCUUCACGAAAUGAAUGCAACGUAUUGGAAUUUACUGCUUGCAUGCUCACAAGUUGGGGAAACAAAGGCUCACUAACUACUAGGGAAAGUUUUAAAAUGUUUGGAAAAUUGAGCUAAUGUGAACGUACGUCGACUCUUUAGCAAAAUUAACACAAUUAUGUCCACUCAAUGUAAUUUUCCAUGCUCUUCUAUAAUAUCUCAUACUUACUCGUGUCUCCAAACUCUAAUCGGUGUGAUUUUUGUUUUAAAUCCAACAUCGUAAUCAACUGCCUCUUUCACAUAGUAAAUAACAAUUAGAAACUUAUGUCUAUAAAGUUCUAUUGGUGGUAUAUUAUCAUUAAAUAUUUUCGACGUUCUAUGUAAUUCUCUUAAACAUAGUUAUGGAUGUGUUUCAAUGCUUUUGAAAAGAUUUCUUCAAUAAUCUUGAUGGUGAUAUAUUUUCAUUAAAUAUCCUCAAUUAACUUUAUAUGUGAUUAUCUUGAACAUGGUCUUGGAUGUGUUCCCCUUUUUUUCUUGAAAAUAUUUUUUCGAUGAGUUUUUCAUAGGGACAAGUUUGGCGCAUGUUGCACAUUUAGUGUAAAUGUGUGUUUAUGAACCAAUAACAUGAAGGGUGAUGAUUGGUGACUGCUAUAGCCAGUGCCGUGCCUACACUUUUGGGGGCUUAAGGCUAAUAUAUACUAUUAAAAUAGAAGUAUUGAUUUUUUCUACGUGUAAUAUUUUAUUUAGAUCGAUUAUCCAUAAAAAAUUAUUAAAUUUUACAUAACUUAAUUACAAUAUUUAUUAAUAUCUUUAUUAUUAUAUAAAAUAGUAAUAAAUAUCUUAAUGAAUGUCUAACAAAAUCUUUCAAAUAUCUUUUAAAAUUUUUUAAAAAUAUUUUUUCGAAAUUCGUUAAUUAAAAUUAUAAUUAUCACAAAGUAUAGUUAGAAAAUAAAUUUUAGUUUAGUUUUGAUUGUAAAAAAAUUAAUAAUUAUAUAAAAUAAUUUUAAUAAUAUUUUAAUGAUAGUAAAAAAUUUAAAUUAAUUUAAUUUAAAAAUUAAUUGAAAAAAAUAUCUUUAAUUUUUUUGAAAAAAAAAAUAUUAAUUUCUAUUUCUAAUUUAAAAAUAAAACUAUUUUAUCUAUUUAGCACUUUUAUGACUUAUUUCAUAUGUGAUUUUCUCUUUAAUCUAAGACCAUUUAGAAGUCAUACAUUUAUAUGUUUUACCAUGUAAUACAGUUAGUUUACACAUUCCUUCAUAGAAGAAACAUUUGAUUUUUAUUCAUAUCGUAUAUAUAAGACUUUAGCCUACUGUUAUUAACGUUAGUGUAUUCUCAUGAGUUAAAAACCAAUUUGGUUUAUUAUUUAAACAACUAUAUUAAAUUGGUUUAAUUAAUCACUAUAUACCAAGUUCUUUAUUAUGUAGGUUAACCCUAAUUUAAUUUCCACAUAUAUUUCAAAUUUAGAAAUAAAACAAAAACUAUGUAAAUCAUCAUUGUUACAUAAUAAUGCUUUCAAAUUACAUUUUGUUACAAAAAUACAAAAUUUAUAAAUUUUAUAGUAAUAAUAUUAUAUGCCACACGAAUAUUAUUAUAAAAUUAGAUAAUAUAUAACACCAAAUUAUAUUAAUUUAUUGAUAUAUUUUAUUAUAUAACCUAAUUUUUUUUUUGAUGAAAUUUCAAAUAUAUUGAACUAUCAAUAGAAUGUUAUGCACAUAUCAACACUUUAUGAACUGAAGAGCUAUGCUAUAAGAGCGUAAAUCUACUUCUAUGGUGUUACUUCAAACCAUCUCCUCAUUAGUUCCCUCUAGCUUCAAAAACCGCUAUAGUAUCGUUAUAUAGCGUUAUUCGUCCGCUAUUAAAACGCAUUUUUCUUGUAGUGAUUCUUCCAAUAUCUGUAAGCUCAAGUUACAUAUUUGAUUAUGAUGUACAUUCGACUUUAGGUUAAUCACUCGGAAUCUUGGAUCAUCAAUAUGGAAGAAGAAAACGCUCGAAACAAGAAGGAAGCAUGUCCCUCUCUAAGGCCUUAAGUCUAGAUCCUAAUGAUAUUGAUCACUCAAGAGUCAAUGCAUCGAUUACUAACAUGGUUUUCUAACUUCUCGUUUUCUUAUCAACUAGGGGAUUAUAGCUUGCUUAUACACUGUUAUAAAUAUUUUUAAAAUUAAUUAAUUAUUAAUAAUAUUAAUAAAAGAUGUCGUGGAUUCAAUUUAUAACAUUUUGUUAUUAUUACUUUUGGACAAAGCCUAUAAAAACCUAAUUCUUUCAUAUUAGAGAGAUGCAUUCAUUCGAACACAACAACAAAAAAUAAGACAUCUUCUUCCACUUGAAUAUUCUUUUAUUUUUUUUAGUUGUUUUGUGUUUGAGGGUAAUGAACAUAGGUUCAACACGUUCUUUUCUUCAGUGAUAGAAAAUUAAAAUAUAUUCAGUUGUAUCAUGAGAUUUUGGAAUGCCAUGCAAAUUAUCAUACAAUGGGCCUAAAAGAGUGUCUUUCCUCCGCAAACCCGUUUUUCUUUCCAAAUUCUUGUAUUUUUCUUUCCAAAUUCUUGUAUCGAUAUUUAUAUUUAUCGAUUUAUUUAUUCAAAUGCUUUACAAUUGUUCAAUUUGCCCUAUUUUAAAAUUUGUGCUCCUACAGUGUGGUGUUGUGAAUUGAGAGUACAUAUAAUGAUGGAACUCGUUUUUGACGAUAUGGUUUAAGACCAUUUUUUCGGUAAGUUUCCGGACGAAGACGUUCGUCGGAAUAACCAAAUGUUGGACACUAUGAAGUAGUGUACUCGUGUGUCAAAAUUGGAGUUGGUUUUGAAUGGGAAAUGAAAAACAAAUGUGAAAGUAUUUGUAAAAUAUUCAUAUUAGAAAUAUGAGGUGAGAAUCCUCUUGUAUAUAAAAUGGAGAAAAUAAAGCAAAGUUUAAAACUUUGUUUAUACUGAGAAAGAAAGAUAUUUGGACCAAACCUAAAUUUCAGGUUUUGAAAUUUGGUAAAUGAUUCAAGAAAUUAAGUAAAGACUAAUAAAGAAUUUAGACUUGUUAGUCUAGUCUUUACUUAAUUUAUUUGUCUUUAUUUUUAAAAACUUCGUGGUAAAUAAAGUUUGAACAAAUAAAGAAAAAAAAUUUAUCUUUGCUAAUUAAAUUGGUGAAUGUGAAGUAGUGGUGGUAUGAAUGCAAAAUUGAUUAUGAUUUUGUAACCUACAUCUAAAUUAAUGCACAUCCAUAUAAUUAUGAUGAGAAUCUCCAUUUUGUGCCAACGUUUACGGUUUGGUCUAUGACAAACGUAAGGUUUGGUUAGUGACUAUAUAAUAGUCAUUCCUCUUCUCAUUCUAGAUACACACAUCCAAGACAAACAAAACCACUUUCUCCUAUUUUAUUUUUUUGUCUGAGAGUAUAAUAUAAAAAUAGGUUCGACAGGCUUUGGUUUUCAAGUGUUGUGAGACUGAAGAUAUAGGCAGUUGUAUCAUGGGAUUCUUAAACGUAUCAAACCGGUACACUACGGACGUUUAAAGGAUUAAGGAAAGAGAUCUAAUCUCGACUCUGCUUCAACCUAGUUCUUUUCCAACUACGGUAUUAUAUUGUUAUAUUUUUUUUCAUGUUAUUUGUAAAUUUUUUGCUUUACAUAUCAAAUUUGCCUAUCUAGUAAAUUUGGUGCCUACAUAUAAUACACGAAAAGAUUAUAAUUUUUGGUUCGAUGAGACAAUGUAGAUCGUUUAAACAUGGAACAUUUUCAAUAUAUGGUUUUUAUUCAUGUAUAAAUGAGAGUGCAUAUAGAUUAAAGAACUGAUUAGUAAGCAGAAGGACUAGGUACGGUAUUAAUUUAUACAUGAUUUAUCAGUGCAUUGGCAGCAACAAACACCGCCAUAACUAUAAAUUCGACAUUCACCUGCAUUUUGGAACCCCAUAGUCUCGCAUUUUGCCGCGCACGGUGGUGUGAGUGUACAUCCGUCCGGCA
RNAcentral lists this long non-coding RNA (6072 nucleotides) under Brassica napus (rape). RNAcentral's name for it is "long non-coding RNA (BNAP_LNC020625)". The record is from RNAcentral. Lineage: Eukaryota; Viridiplantae; Streptophyta; Magnoliopsida; Brassicales; Brassicaceae.